Molecule: ribosomal RNA, 442 nt
Filed under: uncultured bacterium
Lineage: Bacteria
Description: partial 16S ribosomal RNA
Rfam family: Bacterial small subunit ribosomal RNA
Source: RNAcentral
CCUACGGGAGGCAGCAGUGAGGAAUAUUGGUCAAUGGGCGCGAGCCUGACCCAGCCACGCCGCGUGAAGGAAGAAGGCUCUAUGGUUUGUAAAUUCUUUUUUCAAAGGAGUGUAGCAGACGAUACCUGACGAAUAAUCCACGGCUAACGACGUACCAGCAGCCGCGGUAAUACGUGGGUCGCAGGCGUUGUCCGGAUUUACUGGGUGUAAAGGGCGUGUUGGCGGGUUGACAAGUCAGAUGUGAAAUCUUGCGGCUUAACCGUAGAACUGCAUUUGAUACUGUUGAUCUUGAGUACAGUGGAGGCAGACGGAAUUCGUGGUGUAGCGGUGAAAUGCGUAGAUAUCAGGAGGAACACCAGUGGCGAAGGCAGCUUGCUGGACAGCAACUGACGGUGAGGCGCGAAAGCGUGGGGAGCAAACAGGAUUAGAUACCCCUGUAGUC